RNAcentral lists this unclassified non-coding RNA (438 nucleotides) under uncultured Thelephoraceae. Its description in RNAcentral is "sequence contains ITS2". The stretch from base 1 to 155 matches the Rfam family "5.8S ribosomal RNA". The record is from RNAcentral. Lineage: Eukaryota; Fungi; Basidiomycota; Agaricomycetes; Thelephorales; Thelephoraceae.
AACUUUCAGCAACGGAUCUCUUGGCUCUCGCAUCGAUGAAGAACGCAGCGAAAUGCGAUAAGUAAUGUGAAUUGCAGAAUUCAGUGAAUCAUCGCAUCUUUGAACGCACCUUGCGCCCCUUGGUUAUUCCUUGGGGCAUGCCUGUUUGAGUAUCAUGAACACCUCAACUCUCACGGUCUUCCGUGACGAGCUUGGACUUUGGGGGUUUGCUGGCCCUGCGGCCGGCUCCUCUCAAACAAAUCAGCUUGCCAGUGUUUGGCGGCAUCUCACGGAUGUGAUAACUAUCUACGCUCGCGGUUGUCUGCCAGGUAACCCUCAGCGAUGAAGGUUCAUUGGGGCUCAUAAACGUCUCUCCUCGGCGAGGACAGCUUUUGAACGUUCGAUCUCAAAUCAGGUAGGACUACCCGCUGAACUUAAGCAUAUCAAUAAGCGGAGGCU